Long non-coding RNA from Corvus hawaiiensis (hawaiian crow), 943 nucleotides. RefSeq lists it as uncharacterized. NCBI's taxonomy places the organism in Eukaryota, Metazoa, Chordata, Aves, Passeriformes, Corvidae. The transcript is spliced from 3 exons. The record is from RefSeq and is a predicted model, not a curated record.
CAAAACUUUGAUUUCUGAUUUCUUGUUUUUGCUCACAAUAUAUAUUGAGUUGUAUAACCCUUAUACAACUCUUAAAGCAGAAUUGUUGCAAGCCAUCACUAAUCUUUAGUCAGAUCCCGGGCUUCAGACACAAGGUGUGUCACUUAUCAAAUCCAAGCGGCCAAUACGCCACAGUGCACUUUGGAUUAAUUUGGAAGUGCUGAUCUCCCACUCCUUGCACACCUACAGAGAAUUCCAGCUGACAUCGGAAGAUACAUGCAUUAGGAUUUCAUCCUGCCCUGACUCAUGCCAGCAACAACCUACCAUCAGCUAAAAGUGUGACCUUUCUCUGGGAGGGCUCCUCAGCCUGACAAGAGCUUUGACAUGAUAAAUGUUGGAGAGCUGCUGCUGCUAUCAAAACUGACCAGCAGGACCACAACUGGAGAGAAAAAGAGGCAGAAGAUCAGGAUAAAAGUAGUAAAUACUUACAGAAGGAUCCAUUGCUGUUUAUGUCACCACAUUACUGCUCACAACACAAAAGAGCAGCAGCUUUUCCAGUCAUCACCUAAAGCUGUGGUGGAUACAUUUUGUAAGUAAGCAGGACAAAAUCUCAUGUACAGCCAAGUAUAGCACCCUGAAAGAAGAGGACAAAUAAUGACAAUUCUCAUGACAAGGAGACAUCACUGGCAGGAAGAAAUGUGCAAUCAUGUUACUUUCCAGCUGGUCUCUUCAGACCAUGAUGCUCCUGGAUUUUCUCUUGUGUACAAGGUGACAUUGAGUUCUCUGAUCUAAUUGCUCAACUUAAGUAAAAAAGCUGAUGGAGUAUUUCAGCUUUUCUGUUAUCCAGCUUGUUACUGAAGCAUUUCAAUAUGCCUCUAUAACUGUAUGUUAUUUGUGCUAUUCCUGUUUAUUGUUUACCCCCCAGAUGUAACUGUUACUCUGAUAAAACUGUUCUGUAACUACA